This 89-nucleotide transfer RNA is filed under the name Candidatus Rokubacteria bacterium RIFCSPHIGHO2_02_FULL_69_13. Its description in RNAcentral is "tRNA-Leu". It matches the Rfam family "tRNA". From Rfam's summary of the family: Transfer RNA (tRNA) molecules are approximately 80 nucleotides in length. The record is from RNAcentral. Lineage: Bacteria; Candidatus Rokuibacteriota. RNAcentral also lists the same sequence under 3 other names.
GCCGAGGUGGCGGAACUGGGAGACGCCGCGGACUUAAAAUCCGCUGGCCCGACCGGGCCGUGGGGGUUCGAAUCCCCCCCUCGGCACCA